UCAGCCCUGGGCUCUGCUCUGGCAAUGGGAGCUGGUCUUUGGGGCUGGGAGAGCUCCCAGCACUGCUGGGGGAACCCCUGCAGGGCCUGAGGUGUGUUCUGGGUGAUGAUAAAUUCAUGUUCUUCUGCAUGGUGAUUUCCCUCUGGUGUGUGCUCAAAGGAGAGGGAAAAAGGUGACCGUGGAAAGAAAGGCACAGGUUUUUUGCCACAUCAUUAUUUUGAUACCCAGUGGUUUGUACGGCUGGAUGUCGACGGUGUGCCAAAGGCCUUGGAGCAGCAGUGCUCAGGAAUGAGCGAGGUACCCAAGGUGAGGUCACUGUGAGCAGCAAAUCAAGGUGGGUUCCUCUGAAAAGGAAAACAGAGCAAGUCUGAGAGGAUUUGUCAGCCCAGUGGGUUGUGCCCUGGAGGAAGCAGCUUUCUCAGGAGUUUAGGGAGCCACUUCUACAGCCACUGAAACCUGGGCAGCAGCUGUCUUCAGUGCUGACAGAACAAAGCCUAAAGCACUCUGGUGACAAGGGGACAAGGGGACAGGGUGAGCUGCUCACCAUGGGCCGCUGCUGGGAGGGGCCGGGCAUGGCCAGCCCGCUGCUCGUGUUCACAGCCUUCUUGGUGAGCUGGAUGUAGACAUUGCCGUGGUCCUUGGACACCAGGCAGUGGUACAGGUCAUCAUACCUGACCUCCAGGAAAAUGCAAUCCCUGUCUGUGCAGUCCCCACUCUUCAGGAAAUACACGGCCUUGGAGGAGAUGAGCACGCAGUAGCUGUCGAUGUUCUCUACGGCGAUGAAGCUGCAACCAAGGAGAAUGUAAAAAGCAUUAUUAGCUUAAAGUAAAAAUAGCAAAUGAA
Long non-coding RNA from Passer domesticus (house sparrow), 843 nucleotides. RefSeq lists it as uncharacterized. Lineage: Eukaryota; Metazoa; Chordata; Aves; Passeriformes; Passeridae. The transcript has 4 exons. The record is from RefSeq and is a predicted model, not a curated record.